RNAcentral lists this ribosomal RNA (478 nucleotides) under uncultured bacterium. RNAcentral's name for it is "partial 16S ribosomal RNA". It matches the Rfam family "Bacterial small subunit ribosomal RNA", at positions 28 to 523 of the family's 1533-position model. The record is from RNAcentral.
GACGAACGCUGGCGGCGUGCUUAACACAUGCAAGUCGAGCGGUAAGGCCUUUCGGGGUACACGAGCGGCGAACGGGUGAGUAACACGUGGGGGAUCUGCCCUGCACUCUGGGAUAAGCCUGGGAAACUGGGUCUAAUACUGGAUAUGACCUCAGCAUGCAUGUGCUGGGGUGGAAAGCUUUUGUGGUGCAGGAUGGGCCCGCGGCCUAUCAGCUUGUUGGUGGGGUAAUGGCCUACCAAGGCGACGACGGGUAGCCGACCUGAGAGGGUGACCGGCCACACUGGGACUGAGAAACGGCCCAGACUCCUACGGGAGGCAGCAGUGGGGAAUAUUGCACAAUGGGCGGAAGCCUGAUGCAGCGACGCCGCGUGAGGGAUGAAGGCCUUCGGGUUGUAAACCUCUUUCAGCAGGGACGAAGCGUGAGUGACGGUACCUGCAGAAGAAGCACCGGCUAACUACGUGCCAGCCGCCGCAGUAA